CAGGUGGACAAGCUUUUCCUGAAGUGCAUUUGACAAUAAAUUCAAAUUCUGAGGAACCACAGAGGGAUUCUAACACAGAUUCUUCCUGUGUUGUAACAAGAGGUAUGGCUAAAAAGACUGAUGUAAAGAAUGAGGUUGUUACCCAUGACAGUUCAAUCACGAUUCGAAUUUUGAGGAUGUAUCAGAAACUUUCUUACCUACAUUAUUUGAUCAGGAUUUUGGUGGUAAGUCUGACCAGGAAGAUUUGCCUUUAUCUCAGAAGGAGAUGAUAGCAGAGCAGGGUAGAGAUCCUGAGAUAGUUAAAUUAAGAGAACAAGCUCUUCCAGAUAGUGAAAUUGAAAAAGUACCAGUUGGAUAUUAUUUUGAAAAGGGGGUAUUAAUGAGGAAGUGGAGGUGGCCUACAAUUCCUGCUAGUGAGGAAUGGGAAGUUAAUCAUCAGGUAGUAGUUCCUAAAAUUUACUGAAAUCAGAUUUUAACUAUGGCUCAUAGUAUUCCUUUGGGUGGUCAUUUAGGGGUAAAGAAAUCUAUGAACAAAGUUUCUAAACAUUUUUAUUGGCCUGGUUUAACCAAGGUGUGGCAACAUUUUGUAGAACAUGUCAUACAGGACUAAUUGUGGGUAAAUCUAAUCAGGUUACUCCAGUGGCCCCACUGCAACCAAUUCCUGUAUUUAGUGAGCCGUUCUCAAAAAUCAUUGUAUGCUGUGUAGGUCCUUUGCCAAAAACUAAAACUGGACAUCAAUAUUUAUUAACUAUUGUGUGCCUUGGAGAGGUUUCAUUCUACAUUAAAAACUAUGAUUAAGACAUAUUGUGUAGAAAGUGAAAAGGACUGGGAUGAAGGUAUACAUUUACUACUUUUUGCAGUAAGCGAGGCAGUACAGGAAUCAUUAGGUUUUAGUCCUUUUGAACUUGUGUUUGGACAUAUAGUUCGAGGACCUUUGGCCUUGUUGAAGGAACAGUGGAUUAAUAAAGAAGUACACACAAAUUUGCUGGAUUAUGUUUUGAAAUUUAAAGACAGAUUGUAUAAAGCUUGUAGCUUGGCCAAGGAAAAUUUGAAGUUAGCUCAAGAGAAGAUGAAGACGUGGUAUGAUAAGGAAGCUGGGAUAAGGUCAUUUAAGCCUGGAGAUAAGGUGUUGGUUCUUUCCCCAGUGCAAAUGAACCCAUUACAAGCCAAAUUCCAUAGUCCUUAGGAGAUUAAAUCUGAGGUAAAUGAUGUCGAUUACGUGGUAAAAAUCCCAGAUUGGAGAAAGACGACACAGCUGAGUCAUAUAAAUAUGAUAAAACCGUAUUAUGAGAGAGAGGUUGCUACUGUGACUGUUGUGAUCAAUAAUGAGUCUGAUCUUGAUGAAAAUUUAAUAGAGGGGUCAUCUGAAACUCAUUUUAAAACCAACAUUAUUUCAGCCAGGUUACCAAAUUCAAAAAUAUUGAUGAAAAAUUAGCUCAUUUACAGCUAGAGCAGAGGGCAGAUGAAACAGUUAAUUUUUAAAUAUGGAGAUUUAUUUCCAGACGUCCCUAGAAGAACCACCGUAGCUACACAUGAUGUAGAUGCUCGAGAUGCAAAACCCAUAAAACAACAGCCGGAUUGAAUGAACAGGGAAAAAUGUGAACUUGCUGAACAGGAAAUUAAGUAUAUGUUAGAGAAUGAUAUUAUUAGACAUUCUAAUUUGAAUUGGAGUUCACCGUGUGUUAUAGUGCCUAAACCAGACCAUAGUAUUAAGUUUUGUACGGAUUACAGAAAGGUGAAUGCUGUGACAAAAACUGAUGCUUAUCCAAUCCUUAGGGUUGAUGAUUGUGUGGAUAAAGUUGGACAGGCCAACUUCCUUACAAAAAUUGAUUUGUUAAAAGGUUAUUGGUGUGUUCCAUUGACGGAUAGAGGUAGAGAGAUUUCAGCAUUUGUAACCCCAUCUGGGUUAUAUGAAUAUAAUGUUCUUCUAUUUGGGAUGAAGAAUGCACCAGGUACUUUUCAGAGGAUGAUUAAUAGCGUGAUUCAGGGAUUAAAAGAUACAGAUGCCUAAAUUGAUGAUUUGGUUACAGGGAAUAAUACGUGGAAAGCACAUAUUACAGCGGUGGAGAAACUAUUUGAGAGACUUUCAAAAGCUAACUUAACUAUGAACUUAGCUAAAGGUGAAUUUGGUCAUUCCACAGAUACUUACCUUGGUUAUGUUGUGGGUCAGGGAAAAUUAGCACCUGUUCAGGAGAAAGUUCAGACAGUUUUAGAAGUACCCACUACAACUGGUAGAAAAACUCCCAGAAGAUUCUUGGGUAUGGUAGGAUAUUAAAGAAAAUUUUGUAAGGAUUUUGCAAAUAUUGCUCUUCCGUUAACUAAUCUCUUGAAGAAAAAUGAGAAGUUUGUUUGGACAGAUCAUGUCAGGAAGAAUUUGAUAAAUUGAAAGCUAUAAUAUGUAGUCAACCUGUACUUGAAUCUCCUGACUUUGAAAAACCAUUUUUGUUAGCUGUAGAUGAUAGUGAUGAAGCUGCAGGAGCAGUGUUACUUUAAAAAGAUAAUGGUGAUGAAGUUGAUCAUCCGGUAGCUUAUAUUUCUAAGAAAUUUAAUGCCCAUCAAAGAAAUUACUCAACAAUAGAAAAGGAAUUGUUAUCUCUUGUUUUGGCUUUACAACAUUUUGAAGUGUAUGUUGGUACUACUCAUAAACCACUCACAGUUUAUACCGAUCACAAUCCAUUAGUGUUUUUGGGUAAGAUGAAAAACAAAAAUAGACGAUUAUUAAAUAGGAGUCUAAUGUUACAGGAGUACAAUAUUUUGAUCACUCAUAUUAAGGGUAAAGACAAUGUGAUCGCUGAUUGUUUGUCUAGAUGCUAAAUGUACAAUGAAAUGUUUUUUUUUCAGAGUGGUAUUCUAACAUUUGUAACACUCCUACUGUACAUUAGUUUGUAAAGGGCUGAAAGAUAAGAUUGUAUAUAUUGUGUAUUUUGUAAAUAUUAUACCUUUGUAUUUUUUUGUACAAAUUGUUAAAAUUUUGUUCUUUAAGUGACCAUUUAUUUUGGAGGGAGGUGUUACAUGCUCAAGGAGAUCUGUGCUUUUCUUUGUGAGAAUGAUGUAAUGGUCUCUUGGGGGGCACCUGAUGUGAUUCUUCCGUCGAUGUGAGGCCACGUGAUGACAUGUGCACCAUGGCUAUAUAAGGGUCAACCCAGAUGACGCAGUUGGUUUUCAGUUUGCAGAUUUCCAGGUACAACGUGCUGUGUCUCCAUUUCUGUUGCGUGUUUGUUUUUAAAACAUUGUAUUGCAUUCUAUUGCCAGAUACCAUAUUAUUGGACUGGAAAUUUUUGCUGGAUGUGUUGAUUUAUUCAAUUCCAACAGUAGAAGGGAGAGUGAAGAAUUUAUCGAAGUACAGGAUCCAAGGAUCGAGAGGAGUUGACAUCGUUCGGCAGUUUAACAAAGGAUCGACCUUAUUGAGUCUUCGUUGGUGGAGUAGCGACCUGCAUCACAGAUAACGCUUGCCAAAAAGAGCAAGGAGUUCAUGCAAAGGUUUGCCCUCUCUCUAGAAGAAUUUAAGGUCAGUUGUUUUAAACUGUUUAUUUUUGGCAUCGUGAAUCCUGUGGACAGAACCAGCAGGAAAGUCAUGUCUGUGAAGAAAUCCUUCUCCAGAGAAGUCUCUCCCAAUUGAACGUAUAAAUCUGUUGGACUUUCGAAUUUAUCGCUUUAAGAACUAUAUUUGACUUUAUCACUUUAAGAACUGUUUUAACACUUUAAGAACCAGUGCCGAGUGUCAAUUUGUUGAACGGCUGCAUAUCGGUUAACUUCCGGUUAAAGUUUUUGUUUGUUUUUUUUACCUUAUCGUUUAUCCGUGUUUAAUAAAUGUUUGGUUGUUUUUAUAUAACCUGUCUCGGUUGAUAUUCAUUGUUGCCAGUUACGUAACAAUGUAGACAGAGAGGAGACAUCUGAUGAAGUAAGGAGAAUGGGCUAUGGAAGGCAAGAUGGAGUAAGUGCAAGGAAAUAAAAAAUAAUUGGACCAGUCACUAUAGUACUACAUUCUUUCCCCCUCUCCCUCUACCAAACAACACCUUUUGGAUCUGUGGGGAGCAAGCUUAUCCAUGGCAAAGAAUGACUAAUAUGGUUGUUGUUACCCUGGGUUUGUAGUAUCCCUCUCUAAGAGACCCCCCAAAUUGGAAAAACGUGAACAGCAGAAACAAGAAGGGGGCAAUCUCUGAAAAGGAGCAAUAUUGGAUGAUAGCAGUUGGCUGUUAUGGGGUCGCGAAGACGGCCAGAGAAUUGAUCAAUACGGCCGUUGCCCUUGAGAAUCUGGCAAAUGCACCAGCGGAGGGGCUACGUGGAACUGAACAGACUCUAAAGGCUGUCACGGUAGAGACUGUAGCCCUGAGAAAGGUGGCUGUGCAGAACAGAAUGGUCUUUGAUUUCCUGCAGGCUGAGAAAGGGGGAAUUUGCGCUAUCAUAGAGGCAGGAAUGUUGCAGCAGACGAAUCAGAAAACAUCACUAAUCUUGCAGACUACAUUAAGAGAUCAGUGACUAAGAUAAAACAGUGGGGGGGCAGUUCCACAACUAUAACCCAUCUGGGAGAGAAUGGCAGCCAUUUGGAAAUUGGUGGAGGAUGCUGGUACAUUACAGGAUAAUACUUGUAAUUGUGGUAAUUUACGUACUGGUCAUGAGGUUCCUCUGUGUCCUACUACACUCCAGAGGACAGAGCUCGAUGACUCUAGCCCCCUUGUAUGUACUAAGACCAACUGGACGGCCUGGAAGCUCUCGGAAAGGAGAGGAAGAAUAGGAUAGUAGUGGUAGCCAUGAUGAGGAUGAAUAUCUGAAAAUGCUCCCUUUUCGUGAGGGUUAUGAGGCCCCUUCCCAGAGAUAGAAUCCCUAAAAGAAUAUAAAUGUGAAUAGGAAAAACGACCCCAGAAACAAGAGCUAAUGUGUUCAGCUCUGCAAGAUAGUUUAACUUGUAACUGCUCCUUUCUCUCUAUUUUUUUAGUGAACAGCCCUCCGGUGAAAAAUGAUCGUAUCUGUUAAAUAGGGGCCGUGGACAAUUCUAAUUUGAUGGAGAAUGGACGUGAAAGCACAGAGGAACUUCUGGAGAAAUUUCUGAAACACUCAUUUGCCGCUGUAGUUACUGUAUGGUCGGGAAUCUUUCAGAGGGUAGGCCUCAAAAUCCCCGGCUUUGCCUGCUUUUGGCGACCGAGAAGGAGGUUGAAUCGUUCGGACAGAGAUGGCGCUCAGUACUCAGUGUCGGAGAGCUGAUCAGAGCACGAAGUUUUCGGAUGACUCAGAGUCGGACUGUGGUCGGCAUGGCAGGGAGAGUUUUUCUUCCUUCUCCCGUCUGCGUGAGAUGUGGUGGUGGGACCAGUCAUCCCAUUGG
This is an RNA transcript of Mobula hypostoma (lesser devil ray), 5320 nucleotides long. It is a transcript of the gene named myeloid cell surface antigen CD33-like, with no coding region annotated. The record is from RefSeq and is a predicted model, not a curated record. NCBI's taxonomy places the organism in Eukaryota, Metazoa, Chordata, Chondrichthyes, Myliobatiformes, Myliobatidae. The transcript is spliced from 2 exons.